GACGAACGCUGGCGGCGUGCUUAACACAUGCAAGUCGAACGGAAAGGCCCUGCUUUUGUGGGGUGCUCGAGUGGCGAACGGGUGAGUAACACGUGAGUAACCUGCCCUUGACUUUGGGAUAACUUCAGGAAACUGGGGCUAAUACCGGAUAGGAGCUCCUGCUGCAUGGUGGGGGUUGGAAAGUUUCGGCGGUUGGGGAUGGACUCGCGGCUUAUCAGCUUGUUGGUGGGGUAGUGGCUUACCAAGGCUUUGACGGGUAGCCGGCCUGAGAGGGUGACCGGCCACAUUGGGACUGAGAUACGGCCCAGACUCCUACGGGAGGCAGUAGUGGGGAAUAUUGCACAAUGGGCGGAAGCCUGAUGCAGCAACGCCGCGUGCGGGAUGACGGCCUUCGGGUUGUAAACCGCUUUCGCUUGUGACGAAGCGUGAGUGACGGUAAUGGGUAAAGAAGCACCGGCUAACUACGUG
This 468-nucleotide ribosomal RNA is filed under the name uncultured bacterium. Its description in RNAcentral is "partial 16S ribosomal RNA". It matches the Rfam family "Bacterial small subunit ribosomal RNA", at positions 28 to 507 of the family's 1533-position model. The record is from RNAcentral.